This 484-nucleotide ribosomal RNA is filed under the name uncultured bacterium. RNAcentral describes it as "partial 16S ribosomal RNA". It matches the Rfam family "Bacterial small subunit ribosomal RNA", at positions 29 to 523 of the family's 1533-position model. The record is from RNAcentral.
AGUGAACGCUGGCGGCGUGCUUAACACAUGCAAGUCGAACGAGAACGGAUUAUAGCUUGCUAUAAUUGUCAGCUAAGUGGCGCACGGGUGAGUAAUGUAUAGGUAAUAUGCCUCUUACUAAGGGAUAACAAAUGGAAACGUUUGCUAAUACCUUAUACUCCUUAUUAACAGAAGUUAAUAAGGGAAAGAUUUAUUGGUAAGAGAUUAGCCUGUAUUGUAUCAGUUAGUUGGUGGGGUAAUGGCUUACCAAGACUAUGACACGUAACUGGUUUGAGAGGAUGAUCAGUCACACUGGAACUGAGACACGGUCCAGACUCCUACGGGAGGCAGCAGUGGAGAAUAUUGCACAAUGGACGAAAGUCUGAUGCAGCAACGCCGCGUGGAGGAUGACACAUUUCGGUGCGUAAACUCCAUUUAUAUGAGAAGAUAAUGACGGUAUUAUAUGAAUAAGCACCGGCUAACUCCGUGCCAGCCGCCGCUGUAA